UGUGAAUUGCAGAAUUCCGCGAAUCAUUGAGUUUUUGAACGCAAGUUGCGCCCGAGGCUCGUCCGAGGGCAUUUCCGUUAGAGCGUCACCG
RNAcentral lists this ribosomal RNA (91 nucleotides) under Plagiomnium integrum. RNAcentral describes it as "partial 5.8S ribosomal RNA". It matches the Rfam family "5.8S ribosomal RNA", at positions 66 to 154 of the family's 154-position model. Rfam says of the family: 5.8S ribosomal RNA (5.8S rRNA) is a component of the large subunit of the eukaryotic ribosome. It is transcribed by RNA polymerase I as part of the 45S precursor that also contains 18S and 28S rRNA. Lineage: Eukaryota; Viridiplantae; Streptophyta; Bryopsida; Bryales; Mniaceae. The record is from RNAcentral.